GACGAACGCUGGCGGCAUGCUUAACACAUGCAAGUCGAACGGAAAGGCCCUGCUUACAGGGUACUCGAGUGGCGAACGGGUGAGUAACACGUGGGUGAUCUGCCCUGCACUUCGGGAUAAGCCUGGGAAACUGGGUCUAAUACCGGAUAUGACCUUCCAUGUAGUGUGGGGGGUGGAAAGAUUUAUCGGUGUGGGUUGAGCCCGCGGCCUAUCAGCUUGUUGGUGGGGUAAUGGCCUACCAAGGCGUCGACGGGUAGCCGGCCUGAGAGGGUGGACGGCCACAUUGGGACUGAGAUACGGCCCAGACUCCUACGGGAGGCAGCAGUGGGGAAUAUUGCACAAUGGGCGGAAGCCUGAUGCAGCGACGCCGCGUGGGGGAUGACGGCCUUCGGGUUGUAAACCUCUUUCGACAGGGACGAAGCUUCGGUGACGGUACCUGUAUAAGAAGCACCGGCUAACUACGUG
RNAcentral lists this ribosomal RNA (465 nucleotides) under uncultured bacterium. RNAcentral describes it as "partial 16S ribosomal RNA". It matches the Rfam family "Bacterial small subunit ribosomal RNA", at positions 28 to 507 of the family's 1533-position model. The record is from RNAcentral.